AUACAUGCAAGUCGAACGGUUGGUAGCAAUACCAAUAGUGGCGCACGGGUGCGUAACGCGUAACCAACCUACCCGAAUCUGGGGGAUAGCCCGCCGAAAGGCGGAUUAAUACCGCAUAAAACUGCAGCCUGGCAUCAGGUAACAGUUAAAGAUUUAUUGGAUUCGGAUGGGGUUGCGUGCCAUUAGCUAGUUGGCGGGGUAACGGCCCACCAAGGCGACAAUGGCUAGGGGAGCUGAGAGGCUGGUCCCCCACACGGGCACUGAGAUACGGGCCCGACUCCUACGGGAGGCAGCAGUAGGGAAUAUUGGGCAAUGGUCGAGAGACUGACCCAGCCAUGCCGCGUGCAGGAUGAAGGCUUUCUGAGUCGUAAACUGCUUUUAUCAGGAAAAAAAAAAGGGGAUGCGUCCUCUACUGACGGUACCUGGUGAAUAAGCACCGGCUAACUCCGUGCCAGCAGCCGCGGUAAUACGGAGGGUGCAAGCGUUGGCCGGAUUUAUUGGGUUUAAAGGGUGCGUAGGCGGCUGAUUAAGUCUGGGGUGAAAGCCCGUUGCUCAACAACGGAACUGCCCUGGAAACUGGUUAGCUUGAGUACAGACGAGGGUGGCGGAAUGGAUACUGUAGCGGUGAAAUGCAUAGAUAGUAUCCAGAACCCCGAUUGC
Molecule: ribosomal RNA, 660 nt
Filed under: uncultured bacterium
Lineage: Bacteria
Description: bacterial SSU rRNA
Rfam family: Bacterial small subunit ribosomal RNA
Source: RNAcentral